AGGGAAAUAGCUCAGUGGUAGAGCACAUGCUUACCACACAAGAGGUCCUGGGUUCAAUCCCCAGUAACUCCA
Molecule: transfer RNA, 72 nt
Organism: Camelus ferus (Wild Bactrian camel)
Lineage: Eukaryota; Metazoa; Chordata; Mammalia; Artiodactyla; Camelidae
Rfam family: tRNA
About the family: Transfer RNA (tRNA) molecules are approximately 80 nucleotides in length. Their secondary structure includes four short double-helical elements and three loops (D, anti-codon, and T loops). Further hydrogen bonds mediate the characteristic L-shaped molecular structure. tRNAs have two regions of fundamental functional importance: the anti-codon, which is responsible for specific mRNA codon recognition, and the 3' end, to which the tRNAs corresponding amino acid is attached (by aminoacyl-tRNA synthetases). tRNAs cope with the degeneracy of the genetic code in two manners: having more than one tRNA (with a specific anti-codon) for a particular amino acid; and 'wobble' base-pairing, i.e. permitting non-standard base-pairing at the 3rd anti-codon position.
Source: Rfam